RNAcentral lists this unclassified non-coding RNA (357 nucleotides) under soil metagenome. RNAcentral's name for it is "partial contains 5.8S ribosomal RNA, internal transcribed spacer 2, and large subunit ribosomal RNA". The stretch from base 1 to 120 matches the Rfam family "5.8S ribosomal RNA", at positions 35 to 154 of the family's 154-position model. The record is from RNAcentral.
GAUGAAGAACGUAGCGAAAUGCGAUAAGUAAUGUGAAUUGCAGAAUUCAGUGAAUCAUCGAAUCUUUGAACGCACAUUGCGCCCGCCAGUAUUCUGGCGGGCAUGCCUGUCCGAGCGUCAUUUCAACCCUCGAACCCCUCCGGGGGGUCGGCGUUGGGGAUCGGGAACCCCUAAGACGGGAUCCCGGCCCCGAAAUACAGUGGCGGUCUCGCCGCAGCCUCUCCUGCGCAGUAGUUUGCACAACUCGCACCGGGAGCGCGGCGCGUCCACGUCCGUAAAACACCCAACUUUCUGAAAUGUUGACCUCGGAUCAGGUAGGACUACCCGCUGAACUUAAGCAUAUCAAUAAGCGGAGGA